CGCGGGGUGGAGCAGCUUGGUAGCUCGUCGGGCUCAUAACCCGAAGGUCGUUGGUUCAAAUCAAGCCCCCGCAACCA
This 77-nucleotide transfer RNA is filed under the name Photobacterium iliopiscarium. RNAcentral describes it as "tRNA-Met". It matches the Rfam family "tRNA". From Rfam's summary of the family: Transfer RNA (tRNA) molecules are approximately 80 nucleotides in length. Their secondary structure includes four short double-helical elements and three loops (D, anti-codon, and T loops). The record is from RNAcentral. Lineage: Bacteria; Pseudomonadati; Pseudomonadota; Gammaproteobacteria; Vibrionales; Vibrionaceae.